CAAAACUUAUAUACAUAUAUUCAACAACAACAUAUACAUUAACAAUACUAUAAUACUGCUCAAAUAUAAUAUCAAGACAUAAUUUAAGUAUAUAAAGCAUGUAAAUGAAUUAUAUCAAGCAAACUGGAGAAGAUAUUUAUAUCUUUCGGCAAUUAACCAAUGAUCCAUACUCUGAAGAAAAACUACAAAGCUAUGGCUGCUUCAUUCUUCAGCUGAUGAUUCUUCUUGCACGUUCUUUCUUGCUUACUUCAAUGGCUUGGAUAUCUGGAUCACAUAGGUAUGAAUUCUGUCAAUACUUUUCUACUAAUGAAUACUUUUGCAUGCCUUCUAUAUGUGCAAUAUUUUCAUAAUAAUAAUCAUUUCAGCUGCUGGUCAAGAUUUAUACUGAAUGUUAUGUGAAAUACAGACUAUCAACUUAAAUAAUUACCAUGUUUACUUGUGUAUAGU
Molecule: long non-coding RNA, 447 nt
Filed under: Androctonus crassicauda
Lineage: Eukaryota; Metazoa; Arthropoda; Arachnida; Scorpiones; Buthidae
Source: RNAcentral